AUAACCGUUCCAUCACACUGUUACGGAUACCCGCUUCGGGUAAGAAAAGCAUUUUAGCCAAAGAUGCAAAUCCUGUGUAGUUUACGGUCCAGCCAUAAAACCUCUAGCAGGGAGCAGCAUUCUCGGUAUCUUCUUUCAGAGGAGAAUUCUGAAAUGCGAUGCUCUUUGUGCGCUUGAAGUUUUCACUUAAAAGAUUUAUGAGUCCGUCGUAGUCAAGUUACCAACUUACAGUGACCAUCAGAACUCUACUAUAGUCUACCGUGUGUAGUACCGCUGCGCCGUUCAGAGUAUCGAUGUCAUUCUCGACUCUCCGUAAUAACGAUUCGGAUUGUUCAUAUAAAGUAUAAUGAAUUUAAAAUAAAAAUUAAGAUCGCACAUUUCAUUGGGAUAUUUUUUAAUAUUUUAAAUGUUAACAUAAGAGUGCCUCAAAGUUUUUGAAAAUGAUUGUGGUUUUUUUAAAUUCAUUUUCAUGAUGCAAUUCACCUAAUAAUUCAUACUGUAGUAUUUGUCAAUACAACUGUCUUGUGCAGAGCAGUUUAGAACUUUAUUACGGCUAGAUUGUCAAGAUGAAUUCCUAACUCGAUUGGUAUACAUUGUUAAUGAGUAUGCAAAUUCGCGUGCAUCAUCAGGAAGAGUGAUGUAUCAUGAAUAUCAUGAUCUUGUGCAUAAUGUGGCUUAUUAGCUUUUCGCAUCAUGCACGAAGCUUAAUAAGGAAUUUAUUAGAGCAGCAGUCUGUUUGAUAAACCGGCAAUAUCGAUUAAAGGUCAUCGUGAACGAUGAUACUGAGAGUAUGAUAAGUAUUUUUAAAAAGGUUGACGGUCUUAUUUUUGCUGGUAAUUUUACAUUGGCAGCAUCUCUUUGCGAUUAUUCAAAUAUUCAUAGAAAUCGAUCAAUCGAUUGGCGAUGAUGCUAUUUGAUGGAUACUUAUUAUGUUAUACGUUUCUUGAUAUUUGUAAAUACAAUUAUUAUAAUUAGUAAACAUAGAAAAGACGGAUCAAAUACGCCACGCGGAUAGUACAUGAUACAUGAUGUUUCAUAUGUGAUUUUUUAAUAUAAUGUGUAUCAGUGAUAAUUAACGCAAUAUACAUAUUUCCAGUGUUUCAUUAUUGUAGUAAACAACGCAAAACAUUUGAUAACUGUCUUUUUUUUAAAUGUUCAAUAAUAUGUUUAUCUAAUUAUUCCAAAAAGAUUGAGUGGUUAAUUUUACACGUUAAUUUUUUAAUUGUUGUACAGGGUCUUUCAGCCUGAUUGAAUAGAUGGUUGCGUCAGAUGCCAUCAGUCUUCAACUAUACCAAAAUUCAUUUCACAAAAAUGGAAUUUCGAAUAUUCAUUAAUAUUUAGUAGAUUAUUAAUUUUGUUGGUUUUACCACCUUGAUCAAUAUCGAUUAGAUGAAAGUAAUAAAGCUGUUGCUUGUACGGGGAGCAAAUAUUAGCGCACGGUGCAAAGAGUCAACUCUAAUAUAGAUAACGGCCGGAGAGUGAUUAUGUUAAGAUUUCAAAAAGUGGUAUACGUCAGUAAAAGUGAAGAAUUUCUUAACUGGGAUCCAAUAAGCAAGAAACUUUCUCUGAAGAAAUCAGCAAUUUCUGAACCAGCAUCAAAUGGAGUCCUAAUCAAAGCUGCUUAUUCAGGAAUAUAUGGAACAGAUUUUCACAUUAUGGAAGCAAAUUCUUAAAAAUAAUAUUCCUGGAUCCAAAAAAGAUGGACCCUUUACUCUCGACCAUGAAUCUUGCGGUAAGAUCCAAGGUAUUGGUUGUGCUGUACAAGUCUUUGAAAUUGGGCAGAGUUGCUAUCGAUUCAAAAGAAGCUGUAUCACUUGCGACGAAUGCCACAAGGAGAAAUAUCAUUUUUGACAAAAUACUGAUGCAAAGAAUAGAUGUAGAACUAAUGAGGAUGGUGCAUGGGUUACGCACAUCCUGGUAGAAGGGUGGCAGGUCUGUAAUGUUCACUUGAUACCUGAUGAUGUUGAAUUAGCCAAGGCUGCUCUUACAAAACCAUUAUCUUGUAUAACACAUGAAUGAGAUCUGAUAAAUCUAAAAACCGUAAGAACUUGAAUAUCGAUAGCAGUUGCCGGAAUUAUUGGAUCACUUUGGUCAGCUGUUCUUCAUCUGCGUAGAAUUAGAAAAAUAUUAAUCAUUAGUGAAGUAUAGGAAAAGAAAGAAGAAGUAGUUAAAGAUUCAGAUCUGGGUUACGAGGUGAAGAGUGCCACAGAAUUGCAAGGUCAAGAAUUUUAUUUAACUAUAGAUUGCGGUGGUUCUGGGCCUACUAUUGACGGCGCAUUACCUUCUCUUGGUCGUUGAGGACGUCUCCUUAUUUUUGGAGUAGCUCAUACACAAACGAAAGUAACCGUAGAAUCAUUUCAGUUACACUGAUCCUGUGAAGGGGCAUAGAUGAAAUGUACUCAAUGAUAUUAUUGCUAGACUUGCAAUUGUCUAAUUCCCUCUGGAAUGGUAUGCUACCAACAUUUGUAUACUGUUGGCCCCUAC
This is a long non-coding RNA of Cephus cinctus (wheat stem sawfly), 2484 nucleotides long. RefSeq lists it as uncharacterized. The transcript is spliced from 5 exons. Lineage: Eukaryota; Metazoa; Arthropoda; Insecta; Hymenoptera; Cephidae. The record is from RefSeq and is a predicted model, not a curated record.